GCCUUCCAUGAAGCUGGAAUUGCUAGUAAUGGCAGGUCAGCAUACUGCCGUGAAUACGUUCCCGGGCCUUGUACACACCGCCCGUCACACCAUGAGAGUUGGGAAUACCCGAAGCCUGUGAGCUAACUUUAAGAGGCAGCAGUCGAAGGUAGAAUCAAUGAUUGGGGUGAAGUCGUAACAAGGUACC
This 187-nucleotide ribosomal RNA is filed under the name uncultured bacterium. RNAcentral describes it as "partial 16S ribosomal RNA". It matches the Rfam family "Bacterial small subunit ribosomal RNA", at positions 1313 to 1500 of the family's 1533-position model. The record is from RNAcentral.